AUGAGAAUGCAGCGAAACUUUUGCUUAAUAACCACGCCGACCCCAGGAAUUCUCUCACGCAGAGGUAAGAACAUUAAAAAAGAAAGGAAGUACAGAGGGUGUGUAACAAUGGAAGAUUGCAUGGAAAGUUCUCCUUUGCUGUUAGUACAUCUUAGGAAAACAUUCAGCUGGAACAUAACCAGGCUCAUAGGACUCAGCUUACUUCCCUUUUCUCUGAAGAUGCCAGAAGCUACUUUCUUUCCAGAGACUUUUCUUCCUCCGAGACAGACUGUGAGAUGGGAUUCUUCUCACCUCCUCUCUCGUGCCCAGAGCUGCUGAAAUGACUUGCAGUCCCAGAGCUGCUAGAGUGAAUUAGCAGUUGGCAAGGUGUCCCCUGAACUAAAGAAGUUGUAUAUUGGGCCAGAAGCAGACCUGGAAGAAGCUGAUGACAAAGGCCUGCCAACAGUGCUGAGACUGUAAGUUAAGAUCAUUCGCACUUCCAUCUUUGUAGGCAGCCUGUGAUGUGAGUUUGGAGACUGCCCAGAUGAAAGCCCUGAAUUGGAAUUCAAGAUCUUUGAAAUUAGCCCUGGCUCCAUCAUCACUAGCUGUGUGACCUUGGGCAAGUAAUUUAAUCUCUCAGAAGUCUGAGUUUCCUCAUCUGGAAGAAGAAUUCCAGUUCAACAUUCUGAUUUUUAAGAUGAAAACUGCCAAUCUGCACAUUGUGUGAGUGGCUAACAUCUGAAUAGCAUUUAAUAUUGUACGAAGCUUUUCUUCAGCUGCCUUGCUAUGCAGACAUGAUUACCAUAAUUUUCCCAGUGAAUAAAUAGUCUUGUAGGAUCAGGUGAAUUGCCCAAGGUCUCACAAUUAAUAAAUAGCAGAAGUAGGACUUGGACAUAAACCUACUGUCUCCAAAUUUGGUGUUCUUUUCCCUGGUCUGAAUUAGUGACUAGGUAAUCCAUAGGAUGUGAAAAAGAACACAAAAGUAAAGACAGUGGAUGGCAGAAAGAAAACAGCAGAGGAUUUAAAUCUUUGAGGAUUAACUUUUAAUCCAAGCUCUGCCAUUUACUGAUUUAGAGUCCUAGAAAAGCCAUUUUUUUUUCCUGUUUGGAAAAAAUAGGCAGGGCUGAUAGUCACCUCAGAAACAGUGGUACAGCCAUACUGCUUAUUAAAAUAUUGAAAUCCUUCUGUAUUAUUUGAUGACUAGCCAUUCCAUUUGUCCCCCUCCUUUCAGAUCCCCCCCAUAUUCCCAUGAUUGAGCAACAAAAGAGUUAAAGUGGGACCCAGCGGGGGGCAUUAAGGAUCCACUCCAUUUCAGGGAGGUAUGGUUGGUCCCAAACCAUAUUGGUUGUUAAAUAUUUUUAAUAUCAAGAAUGAUUAGCAAUAAUAAUGAUAACAUUCUUCCCCACUUCAGUGGGCUGCUGUUGAAGAUCAGAUAAUAUAAAACAAUGGAGAUGACAGAUCAGCUAUAAACCUUAAAAGCAAUGUUUAAAAAUGUCAUAGCAAUGACCUCUGGGGAAAAAAGUUCUGUUAUACAGAAAAUAAUGCAUAGGAUUUCACCUUGGCGAGAUUGUUGCCUAUUAGUCUAUUUAAGACUCUCAUAUGGUAAAGGAACUUAUUUUACAUCUUUAACUUUGAAUUUUCUAAUGUUUGGGAAUAGAACUCAUUUCUCAACCAUAAAACACCUAUCACAUUCUCUGCUGAUUUUGUGGAUCUUGGUUUUUGACCCUUGACUUACUGUUUUCUAUAUCUUUACCUAUUCUUAUAUAGUAUGUCUUUCUGUGCAGUGGCUCACAUGGUCCGUACCCUAGAUGCUGCUUUAGUCCAGGGUUAAAGGCACUCAACUCCCCAUGGCAGGUUUAUCACAGAGCAGAGGUCUCUAGAGUCCAGCUAUCCUAGAAUAACAAGAAUAAGGAAAAUGAUAGCAUCAUCAAAAACAAUGGCAGGACAUAUUUACUGAGUGCUUUUUACAUGUUGAGGACGCUGCUGAGUGCUUUACAUAUUCUACUGAUCAUGGUGCUUGACUCCAUUUUACCCCACAUGAUUAGUCUAAGCUAGGGGUCAGCAAACCACAGCCUGCAAGCCACCUAGUCCCUGGCCUGUUUUUGGAGGACCAUGAGCUAAGAAUAUUUUUUACAUUUUUAUAGGGUUGAA
Molecule: long non-coding RNA, 2130 nt
Filed under: Delphinapterus leucas (beluga whale)
Lineage: Eukaryota; Metazoa; Chordata; Mammalia; Artiodactyla; Monodontidae
Description: lncRNA (ENSDLEG00000013615.1)
Source: RNAcentral